Molecule: long non-coding RNA, 1535 nt
Filed under: Oryza sativa Indica Group (long-grained rice)
Lineage: Eukaryota; Viridiplantae; Streptophyta; Magnoliopsida; Poales; Poaceae
Description: lncRNA OsMH63_04G004700
Source: RNAcentral
UCAUCAAAUCCAACGGCUCAUAUAUCUCUACCCCGAUCGAACGAUCAAGAUCAGCUCCGCCUCUCUUCCGCAUGCCGAUCGCUCGUCACGGCUCCGUUUCCGCGCCUCCCCUGCCAACGCCCCGCGCACAUCACGCCCUCACCCCUCCCUGCCACAUCUUCAACCCCCAACUCACGCAUCGUCCCCCUCCUCUCUCCUGGACUCCCCAUCGUCGCCGUCGCCGCAUGCCGCUCCUCUCCCCACUCGCGGGAGAGGAACUCUCUCCAAACCCUAACCCUAACCUCCUCUCUCUCCACGAAUACGCGCUGCACGCUGUUGCGCGCUCCCCUCCCCACUCGCCGGUUCCUCCGCGUCUCACCUGAUCUCCACCUCGAAAUCCGCCGCCGGAGCAGCGUUGGGUCGUCGCCCUCGGUGGCUCAUGUCGCACUGUCGCCCACCUUCGCGCCGCCACCGGUCUCCUCCGCACGAUUGGAACAGGAUAAUCUUCUGCUCAAGAAAACACCAAUGUUGGAGAUGAUCACAAUUGUCCUCCACUGCUCUUGAUCAUUCAAGCAGGCACAUAUACAUACAUAUACAAAAAGAUAUGCCAUGGUGUGGAUGGAAAUCGUGGAGGAAUUCUGCACCUGCACUCUAUUGACAGAGUUCUACUUAUAUAAACAUUGCAAGGGAUGCAUCUUUUGGUAAUUCACCAUUGAUAGGCAUUGUACUAAACUACUAAUACUAUAAUCUGCAGGUAAUACAUAUCCAUCUAUUUUUUCCCUUCAAAUCUACUAGACUUCAACAUACAAUUUUCUCAACCCCAGAUAUGUGGGUAUAUGCAGCUGAUUUGCAAUCACCAACCCCAGAUAUUUUAACCCUUAUAGCUUAACUUUGAAGUCCAUAUGUUAGGCGCAGAGUGGUAAAGUGGUUUAUGUCUAUUUUGAUCGAGCAGUUUGGCGAGCGGAGACGUGGAAUUAUACAAUGGUAGUUCAGGAGAAUUAACAUAGGCAUAGGUACUAUUUUUUACUGAUAGAUGUAUUUUGAAAUCUUCAUGGAUUAUGGAGCGGAACAGCUAAACUUUGCUCUGCUGUAACUUAGACCCAAUUGUGCAGUGUUCAUGGUAUGUCCGACAUUGCUUACUUAGAUAUGCUUAUGCUCUUAGUGGAAUCACUAAUAAACAUCGCCGGAUAUGUGUCCUUUUAGAUAUGCUUGUGUGUUUGCUUCCUGGAGAUUUGGUUGGGUUGGAACAAAAUGUUAUUUAUUUGCUUUAGAAUGCAGUGCCCUAUGUAUUACGAAAUUAUACUUCCUUUAAUUGAGUCUAAUGGCUUAGAAUCCCUAUAAUAUUGUUUAAUUGUGUGGAGAACAUGACCAAAAAUAUAUAAAAUGGAAAUAUAAUAUACUGCUGCUUCCCUGUAUUUCUUGGGAGAUUCUUUUUCAAGAUCAUCACUGAUCAGAUGCUACGAGUCUAGGAAUCUUUAAAGUUUGAUUUUCUUUUUGGCAUGUAUGGAUGUAUAUUUUGGUUUAAUCUUGCCAUAAUUUAUUUAUUUAUUACUACU